UGGGGAAUUUUGGACAAUGGGCGAAAGCCUGAUCCAGCAAUGCCGCGUGUGUGAAGAAGGCCUUCGGGUUGUAAAGCACUUUUGUCCGGAAAGAAAUCCUCUGGGUUAAUACCUCGGGGGGAUGACGGUACCGGAAGAAUAAGCACCGGCUAACUACGUGCCAGCAGCCGCGGUAAUACGUAGGGUGCAAGCGUUAAUCGGAAUUACUGGGCGUAAAGCGUGCGCAGGCGGUUUGCUAAGACCGAUGUGAAAUCCCCGGGCUCAACCUGGGAACUGCAUUGGUGACUGGCAGGCUAGAGUAUGGCAGAGGGGGGUAGAAUUCCACGUGUAGCAGUGAAAGUGCGUAGAGAUGUGGAGGAAUACCGAUGGCGAAGGCAGCCCCCUGGGCCAAAUACUGACGCUCAUGCACGAAAGCGUGGGGAGCAAACAGGAUUAGAUACCCUGGUAGUCCAGCGCCCUAAACGAUGUCAACUAGUUGUUGGGGAUUCAUUUCCUUAGUAACGUAGCUAACGCGUGAAGUUGACCGCCUGGGGAGUACGGUCGCAAGAUUAAAACUUAAAUGAAUUGACGGGGUCAUAGCUGUUUCC
This 587-nucleotide ribosomal RNA is filed under the name uncultured bacterium. Its description in RNAcentral is "partial 16S ribosomal RNA". It matches the Rfam family "Bacterial small subunit ribosomal RNA", at positions 355 to 937 of the family's 1533-position model. The record is from RNAcentral.